Molecule: ribosomal RNA, 468 nt
Filed under: uncultured bacterium
Lineage: Bacteria
Description: partial 16S ribosomal RNA
Rfam family: Bacterial small subunit ribosomal RNA
Source: RNAcentral
GACGAACGCUGGCGGCGUGCUUAACACAUGCAAGUCGAACGGAAAGGCCCUGCUUUUGUGGGGUGCUCGAGUGGCGAACGGGUGAGUAACACGUGAGUAACCUGCCCUUGACUUUGGGAUAACUUCAGGAAACUGGGGCUAAUACCGGAUAGGAGCUCCUGCUGCAUGGUGGGGGUUGGAAAGUUUCGGCGGUUGGGGAUGGACUCGCGGCUUAUCAGCUUGUUGGUGGGGUAGUGGCUUACCAAGGCUUUGACGGGUAGCCGGCCUGAGAGGGUGACCGGCCACAUGGGGACUGAGAUACGGCCCAGACUCCUACGGGAGGCAGUAGUGGGGAAUAUUGCACAAUGGGCGGAAGCCUGAUGCAGCAACGCCGCGUGCGGGAUGACGGCCUUCGGGUUGUAAACCGCUUUCGCCUGUGACGAAGCGUGAGUGACGGUAAUGGGUAAAGAAGCACCGGCUAACUACGUG